AUUUAACAGCUGUCGUCAACGACUGGCAGAGGAGAAGAAAUUGAUUUGGUCGACUUAUUUACAAGAUUUUUCAAGAAAGGAAAACUGCAGAAAAAACCCAGGGUGAUGUGACGAGGUGAAUAUGGAUGCUUCUGCUGGAGAUGAUGUAUGUAUGUGGAGGCUCCAGUGAAAGGAGACGUGUGGAAUUGUGUUCAUUGAGUUUCCUGCUUUGGUAAUGACAUUCAUUCUCAUGAUGAUGGGAUUGAGAGGUGAAUUGACUUGGGAAGGACACCACUGAAGACCUCAGGGUGACAUGUUUGGCUUGUCAUGGUUACGGGCAGCUCUGACCAUCACAACCAUCUGAUUCCACUUUUACACUAGAUUCUGUGGGGAUCUCUAAUCUUUCAUUUUAGCGUUUGUGAGAUCAAAUGGAGGAGUUUAAUUUAACAUGUUUGCUGCAGGUGAGAAGGUUUAGGAUUUAGGUGUGCAGGACACUUGAGUUCUUCCAGACCAACCUUCACACCAACAACCAUGUCUUCAUGCAGCUCAGGUUUGUGUGCAGGCAGGAGCAUCGUAAUUCUGUGGAUCUUCACUCAUAGGACGAUUGACGAUUUAAAAAAAAAUUGCAGUGAUGUCCUAUAUAAUUGUGUGUUUCAGAUGUUAAUAACGUCAGAGUAACUCCAUACAACUAGCUGAGCUGAGCAGUGAAACAUCUCAGCACACUCAUACUCUGUAGCCAUGAAAGCCUCAGAUUCAAAAUGUUAGUGAAAUGCUAUAAAUCUGAUGUGGUCUUCUGCUGUAGAUCAUUUAACUUAAGGUUUCAUUCUGAUUCAUGCAUUUCUGCUCAUCACAGAUAUAAAGAGUGAUUAUAUUUGAGUUACUGUAGACUUCCAGGCAGUUUGAACCAAUCAGGUCAUUCUUCUCUGAUUCAGGUUUCCACCCACAGACCUGUCAAUCAUACGAUGUUUUUUUGUUUUUCACAUUAUUCUGUUUACACUUUACUGACAUUUAGGUGAAUAUCCAACCAGGUGUUCCCCCAUGUGAAAAUUACCAGAGGUUCCUGACCUACAUUUACAUUAUACUUCACUCUGCGUUGCUGCCACCUGAUUGGCCGAUUAGAAAACCACAUUAACAUGCAGUUGUUUCUAAUAAAAUGUAAAGUGGUUUGUUAACGUGUA
Molecule: long non-coding RNA, 1157 nt
Organism: Silurus meridionalis
Lineage: Eukaryota; Metazoa; Chordata; Actinopteri; Siluriformes; Siluridae
Exons: 2
Source: RefSeq, a predicted model, not a curated record